UAACACGUAGGGGCCAAGCGUUGUCCGGAUUCAUUGGGCGUAAAGAGCUCGUAGGCGGUUCAGUUAGUCGGGUGUGAAAUCUCCGGGCUCAACUCGGAGGGGCCACCCGAUACUGCUGUGACUCGAGUCCGGUAGGGGAGUGGGGAAUUCCUGGUGUAGCGGUGAAAUGCGCAGAUAUCAGGAGGAACACCGGUGGCGAAGGCGCCACUCUGGGCCGGUACUGACGCUGAGGAGCGAAAGCGUGGGGAGCAAACAGGAUUAGAUACCCUGGUAGUCCACGCUGUAAACGGUGGGCACUAGGUGUGGGUCCUUACCAACGGGAUCCGUGCCGUAGCUAACGCAUUAAGUGCCCCGCCUGGGGAGUACGGCCGCAAGGCUAAAACUUAAAGGAAUUGACGG
RNAcentral lists this ribosomal RNA (399 nucleotides) under uncultured bacterium. RNAcentral describes it as "bacterial SSU rRNA". It matches the Rfam family "Bacterial small subunit ribosomal RNA", at positions 521 to 916 of the family's 1533-position model. The record is from RNAcentral.